Molecule: ribosomal RNA, 253 nt
Filed under: uncultured bacterium
Lineage: Bacteria
Description: partial 16S ribosomal RNA
Rfam family: Bacterial small subunit ribosomal RNA
Source: RNAcentral
UACGUAGGGGGCAAGCGUUGUCCGGAUUUAUUGGGCGUAAAGAGCGUGUAGGCGGCCAGACAGGUCAGCUGUGAAAACUCGAGGCUCAACCUCGAGACGUCGGUUGAAACCGUCUGGCUAGAGUCCGGAAGAGGAGAGUGGAAUUCCCGGUGUAGCGGUGAAAUGCGUAGAUAUCAGGAGGAAUACCGGUGGUGUAGACGGCUCUCUGGACCGCAACUGACGCUGAGACACGAAAGCGUGGGUAGCAAACAGG